Hydra vulgaris (swiftwater hydra) is the source of this 590-nucleotide long non-coding RNA. RefSeq lists it as uncharacterized. The record is from RefSeq and is a predicted model, not a curated record. Lineage: Eukaryota; Metazoa; Cnidaria; Hydrozoa; Anthoathecata; Hydridae.
UAUAUAUAUAUUUAUUAUUGUAAUAAUUUAAAUAACGAUACUUGGCCUUGGGCAAAUGUGGACUGUGGUUACAUCCCAUCUGCACUGUGGGUUUUCAACAACAAGUUCAUGGCAUUCCAAAAAAGUUGUUAAAUGGAUGAGCGAUAUAUCCAAGAAUUUGUCUUUACCAACAACUUGAAAUUCUUAACAACCUCCAGUAUCUUUAUUUGACAUUGAGUGUAUAAAAUGGAAAGAAAAGUUUGUCCUGUUUGAAGAAAAUAUGAAAAUGGAUUCAUUACUUAAACAAAAAGUUGUAAAACUAAAGGGCUUGAUCACAAAGAUACGAUUAAGUACAUUAUGAAAAGAAUUGCCAUGCGUGAAAUAAAGGGUACCGAAAGUCGAAAAAAGUUAGCUUUUGGGUUAACCGAGAAUUACAAAACAGUAUAUGAAAUAGUGACAUUUAAGUUCCCGAAAAUGACGAAAAAUGAGUUUUAUUAAGCUAUUCAGAACCUACUUAGAAAUGCCCCGAGCAAAAAAGAGAGCUGUAUAAAAAUGACAGCUGUAUACACAAAUUUGUUAAAUGUUUUAUUGAAGAUAUAUAAUCUCUUUUA